Molecule: ribosomal RNA, 253 nt
Filed under: uncultured bacterium
Lineage: Bacteria
Description: partial 16S ribosomal RNA
Rfam family: Bacterial small subunit ribosomal RNA
Source: RNAcentral
UACGUAGGGGGCUAGCGUUGUCCGGAAUCAUUGUGCGUAAAGCGCGCGUAGGCGGCCCGGUAAGUCCGCUGUGAAAGUCAAAGGCUCAACCUUUGAAUGUCAGCGGAUACUGCCGGGCUAGAGUCCGGAAGAGGCGAGUGGAACUCCUGGUGUAGCGGUGGAAUGCGCAGAUAUCAGGAAGAACACCAACGGCGAAGGCAGCUCGCUGGGACGGAACUGACGCUGAGGCGCGAAAGCGUGGGGAGCGAACGGG